UGUCCAGGGCUUCACACAUGCUACAAUGGCCGGUACAGAGGGCUGCGAUACCGUGAGGUGGAGCGAAUCCCUUAAAGCCGGUCUCAGUUCGGAUCGGGGUCUGCAACUCGACCCCGUGAAGUCGGAGUCGCUAGUAAUCGCAGAUCAGCAACGCUGCGGUGAAUACGUUCCCGGGCCUUGUACACACCGCCCGUCACGUCAUGAAAGUCGGUAACACCCGAAGCCGGUGGCCUAACCCUUGUGGAGGGAGCCGUCGAAGGUGGGAUCGGCGAUUGGGACGAAGUCGUAACAAGGUAGCCGUACCGGAAGGUGCGGCUGGAUCACCUCCUUUCUAAGGAG
RNAcentral lists this ribosomal RNA (339 nucleotides) under Rhodococcus (subgen. Prescottella) equi. Its description in RNAcentral is "Prescottella equi bacterial SSU rRNA". It matches the Rfam family "Bacterial small subunit ribosomal RNA", at positions 1205 to 1533 of the family's 1533-position model. The record is from RNAcentral. Lineage: Bacteria; Bacillati; Actinomycetota; Actinomycetes; Mycobacteriales; Nocardiaceae.